GAUGAACGCUAGCGAUAGGCUUAACACAUGCAAGUCGAGGGGCAGCAUGGUCUUAGCUUGCUAAGACUGAUGGCGACCGGCGCACGGGUGCGUAACGCGUAUGCAACUUGCCUCACAGAGGGGGAUAACCCGUCGAAAGACGGACUAAUACCGCGUACACUUGGGAUAGGGCAUCCUGACCCAAGGAAAUGAAGUUCGCUGUGAGAUAGGCAUGCGUCCCAUUAGCUAGUUGGUGAGGUAACGGCCCACCAAGGCGACGAUGGGUAGGGGAACUGAGAGGUUGAACCCCCACACUGGUACUGAGACACGGACCAGACUCCUACGGGAGGCAGCAGUGAGGAAUAUUGGUCAAUGGGCGAGAGCCUGAACCAGCCAAGUCGCGUGAAGGAUGACUGUCUUAUGGAUUGUAAACUUCUUUUAUACGGGAAUAACAAGAGCCACGUGUGGCUCCCUGCAUGUACCGUAUGAAUAAGCAUCGGCUAACUCCGUG
RNAcentral lists this ribosomal RNA (490 nucleotides) under uncultured bacterium. RNAcentral's name for it is "partial 16S ribosomal RNA". It matches the Rfam family "Bacterial small subunit ribosomal RNA", at positions 28 to 507 of the family's 1533-position model. The record is from RNAcentral.